This 205-nucleotide ribosomal RNA is filed under the name uncultured bacterium. Its description in RNAcentral is "partial 16S ribosomal RNA". It matches the Rfam family "Bacterial small subunit ribosomal RNA", at positions 570 to 774 of the family's 1533-position model. The record is from RNAcentral.
CGUAGGCGGAUUAGAAAGUUGGGGGUGAAAUCCCAGGGCUCAACCCUGGAACUGCCUCCAAAACUACUAGUCUAGAGUUCGAGAGAGGUGAGUGGAAUUCCGAGUGUAGAGGUGAAAUUCGUAGAUAUUCGGAGGAACACCAGUGGCGAAGGCGGCUCACUGGCUCGAUACUGACGCUGAGGUGCGAAAGUGUGGGGAGCAAACA